This 496-nucleotide ribosomal RNA is filed under the name uncultured bacterium. Its description in RNAcentral is "partial 16S ribosomal RNA". It matches the Rfam family "Bacterial small subunit ribosomal RNA", at positions 28 to 506 of the family's 1533-position model. The record is from RNAcentral.
GAUGAACGCUGGCGGCGUGCCUAAUACAUGCAAGUCGAGCGAACAGACGAGGAGCUUGCUCCUCUGACGUUAGCGGCGGACGGGUGAGUAACACGUGGAUAACCUACCUAUAAGACUGGGAUAACUUCGGGAAACCGGAGCUAAUACCGGAUAAUAUAUUGAACCGCAUGGUUCAAUAGUGAAAGACGGUUUUGCUGUCACUUAUAGAUGGAUCCGCGCCGCAUUAGCCAGUUGGUAAGGUAACGGCUUACCAAGGCAACGAUGCGUAGCCGACCUGAGAGGGUGAUCGGCCACACUGGAACUGAGACACGGUCCAGACUCCUACGGGAGGCAGCAGUAGGGAAUCUUCCGCAAUGGGCGAAAGCUUGACGGAGCAACGCCGCGUGAGUGAUGAAGGUCUUCGGAUCGUAAAACUCUGUUAUUAGGGAAGAACAAAUGUGUAAGUAACUAUGCACGUCUUGACGGUACCUAAGCAGAAAGCCACGGCUAACUACGG